Molecule: ribosomal RNA, 211 nt
Filed under: uncultured bacterium
Lineage: Bacteria
Description: partial 16S ribosomal RNA
Rfam family: Bacterial small subunit ribosomal RNA
Source: RNAcentral
AGUUCGGAUUGCAGGCUGCAACCCGCCUGCAUGAAGCCGGAAUCGCUAGUAAUCGCGGAUCAGAAUGCCGCGGUGAAUACGUUCCCGGGUCUUGUACACACCGCCCGUCACACCAUGGGAGUCGGGAAUGCCCGAAAUCAGUGGCCCAACCGGAAGGGGGGAGCUGCCGAAGGCAGGCCCGAUGACUGGGGUGAAGUCGUAACAAGGUAUC